CCUACGGGAGGCUGCAGUCGAGAAUCAUUCACAAUGGGGGAAACCCUGAUGGUGCGACGCCGCGUGGGGGAAUGAAGGUCUUCGGAUUGUAAACUCCUGUCAUGUGGGAGCAAAUUAAAAAGAUAGUACCACAAGAGGAAGAGACGGCUAACUCUGUGCCAGCAGCCGCGGUAAUACAGAGGUCUCAAGCGUUGUUCGGAAUCACUGGGCGUAAAGCGUGCGUAGGCUGUUUCGUAAGUCGUGUGUGAAAGGCGCGGGCUCAACCCGCGGACGGCACAUGAUACUGCGAGACUAGAGUAAUGGAGGGGGAACCGGAAUUCUCGGUGUAGCAGUGAAAUGCGUAGAUAUCGAGAGGAACACUCGUGGCGAAGGCGGGUUCCUGGACCGCGACUGACGUUGAGGCUCGAAAGCGUGGGGAGCGAACAGGAUUAGAUACCCCAGUAGUC
Molecule: ribosomal RNA, 446 nt
Filed under: uncultured bacterium
Lineage: Bacteria
Description: partial 16S ribosomal RNA
Rfam family: Bacterial small subunit ribosomal RNA
Source: RNAcentral